RNAcentral lists this ribosomal RNA (739 nucleotides) under uncultured Methanocorpusculum sp. RNAcentral describes it as "bacterial SSU rRNA". It matches the Rfam family "Archaeal small subunit ribosomal RNA", at positions 1 to 748 of the family's 1478-position model. The record is from RNAcentral. Lineage: Archaea; Methanobacteriati; Methanobacteriota; Methanomicrobia; Methanomicrobiales; Methanocorpusculaceae.
UUUCCGGUUGAUCCCGCCGGAGGCCAUUGCUAUCAGGGUUUGACUAAGCCAUGCGAGUCGAGAGGUGUAAGACCUCGGCAUACUGCUCAGUAACACAUGGAUAAUCUGCCCUUGGGUGGAGAAUACUCCCGGGAAACUGGGGUUAAUGCUCCAUAGUGGAUAUAUACUGGAAUGUUAUAUCCUCGAAAGAUCCGUCGCCCAAGGAUGAGUCUAUGUCCGAUUAGGUAGUUGGCGGGGUAACGGCCCACCAAGCCUUUGAUCGGUACGGGUUGUGGGAGCAAGAUCCCGGAGAUGGAUUCUGAGACAUGAAUCCAGGCCCUACGGGGCGCAGCAGGCGCGCAAACUUUACAAUGCGAGCAAUCGUGAUAAGGAAACCCUGAGUGCCUGUCGAUGCAGGCUGUUCAUAUAUCUAAAUCAUAUGUGAAGAAAGGGCAGGGCAAGACCGGUGCCAGCCGCCGCGGUAAUACCGGCUGCUCGAGUGAUGGCCACUAUUACUGGGUUUAAAGCGUCCGUAGCUUGAUUGUUAGGUCUCUUGGGAAAUCUUCACGCUCAACGUGAAGGCGUCCAAGAGAUACCGGCAAUCUUGGAACUGGGAGAGGUAAACCGUACUUCGGGGGUAGGAGUGAAAUCUUGUAAUCCUCGAGGGACGACCUAUGGCGAAAGCAGUUUACCAGAACAGCUUCGACAGUGAGGGACGAAAGCUGGGGGAGCAAACGGGAUUAGAUACCCCGGUAGUCCC